ACGCUCGACACCUACGGGGCAGCAGUGGGGAAUAUUGCACAAUGGGGGAAACCCUGAUGCAGCAACGCCGCGUGAAGGAAGACGGUUUUCGGAUUGUAAACUUCUGUUCUUAGUGAAGAUAGUGACGGUAGCUAAGGAGCAAGCCACGGCUAACUACGUGCCAGUAGCCGCGGUAAUCUGAGCGGGCGUGGCAAGGC
This 197-nucleotide ribosomal RNA is filed under the name uncultured bacterium. Its description in RNAcentral is "partial 16S ribosomal RNA". It matches the Rfam family "Bacterial small subunit ribosomal RNA", at positions 326 to 538 of the family's 1533-position model. The record is from RNAcentral.